RNAcentral lists this ribosomal RNA (253 nucleotides) under uncultured bacterium. RNAcentral describes it as "partial 16S ribosomal RNA". It matches the Rfam family "Bacterial small subunit ribosomal RNA", at positions 524 to 776 of the family's 1533-position model. The record is from RNAcentral.
UACCGAGGUCUCAAGCGUUGUUCGGAUUCAUUGGGCGUAAAGGGUGCGUAGGCGGCGCGGUAAGUCGGGCGUGAAAUCUCGGAGCUUAACUCCGAAACUGCAUUCGAUACUGCCGUGCUUGAGGACUGGAGAGGAGACUGGAAUUUACGGUGUAGCGGUGAAAUGCGUAGAUAUCGUAAGGAAGACCAGUGGCGAAGGCGGGUCUCUGGACAGUUCCUGACGCUGAGGCACGAAGGUCAGGGGAGCAAACGGG